GGUCCCGUAGCAUAACUGGUAGUAUAGUGUGCUCAUAACACAAAGGUCGAGGUUCAAACCCUCGCGGAACCG
RNAcentral lists this transfer RNA (72 nucleotides) under Aspergillus ruber CBS 135680. RNAcentral describes it as "tRNA-Met (CAT) (tRNA-Met-CAT-2-1)". It matches the Rfam family "tRNA". From Rfam's summary of the family: Transfer RNA (tRNA) molecules are approximately 80 nucleotides in length. Their secondary structure includes four short double-helical elements and three loops (D, anti-codon, and T loops). The record is from RNAcentral. Lineage: Eukaryota; Fungi; Ascomycota; Eurotiomycetes; Eurotiales; Aspergillaceae.